AGAAUCAACGCUGGCGGCGUGCCUAACACAUGCAAGUCGAACGCGGUUACUUUUGUUUCGCAAGGAACAGGAGUAACUGAGUGGCGAACGGGUGAGUAACACGUGGGUGACCUACCUUCGAGUGGGGGAUAACGUCCCGAAAGGGACGCUAAUACCGCAUAACAUCCUUCCUUUGAACAGGAGGAGAUCAAAGCCGGGGAUCGUAAGACCUGGCGCUUGAUGAGGGGCCCGCGUCCGAUUAGCUAGUUGGUGAGGUAACGGCUCACCAAGGCGACGAUC
Molecule: ribosomal RNA, 279 nt
Filed under: uncultured bacterium
Lineage: Bacteria
Description: partial small subunit ribosomal RNA
Rfam family: Bacterial small subunit ribosomal RNA
Source: RNAcentral